RNAcentral lists this ribosomal RNA (497 nucleotides) under uncultured bacterium. RNAcentral's name for it is "partial 16S ribosomal RNA". It matches the Rfam family "Bacterial small subunit ribosomal RNA", at positions 28 to 507 of the family's 1533-position model. The record is from RNAcentral.
GAUGAACGCUGGCGGCGUGCCUAAUACAUGCAAGUCGAGCGAACGGACGAGAAGCUUGCUUUUCUGAUGUUAGCGGCGGACGGGUGAGUAACACGUGGAUAACCUACCUAUAAGACUGGGAUAACUUCGGGAAACCGGAGCUAAUACCGGAUAAUAUUUUGAACCGCAUGGUUCAAAAGUGAAAGACGGUCUUGCUGUCACUUAUAGAUGGAUCCGCGCUGCAUUAGCUAGUUGGUAAGGUAACGGCUUACCAAGGCAACGAUGCAUAGCCGACCUGAGAGGGUGAUCGGCCACACUGGAACUGAGACACGGUCCAGACUCCUACGGGAGGCAGCAGUAGGGAAUCUUCCGCAAUGGGCGAAAGUCUGACGGAGCAACGCCGCGUGAGUGAUGAAGGUCUUCGGAUCGUAAAACUCUGUUAUUAGGGAAGAACAUAUGUGUAAGUAACUGUGCACAUCUUGACGGUACCUAAUCAGAAAGCCACGGCUAACUACGUG